This is a non-coding RNA of Diaporthe citri, 109 nucleotides long. The record is from the annotation of a RefSeq genome assembly. Lineage: Eukaryota; Fungi; Ascomycota; Sordariomycetes; Diaporthales; Diaporthaceae.
GGCAAGAUGGCCGAGCGGUCUAAGGCGCUGCUUUCAAGAAUCAAUUCUUCCCCGAAGUGGGAGCACAGCAGUAUCGAAAGAUGCAUGGGUUCAAAUCCCAUUCUUGUCA